This 206-nucleotide ribosomal RNA is filed under the name Klebsiella sp. DNRA6. RNAcentral's name for it is "partial 23S ribosomal RNA". It matches the Rfam family "Bacterial large subunit ribosomal RNA", at positions 1113 to 1317 of the family's 2925-position model. Lineage: Bacteria; Pseudomonadati; Pseudomonadota; Gammaproteobacteria; Enterobacterales; Enterobacteriaceae. The record is from RNAcentral.
CAGCCAUCAUUUAAAGAAAGCGUAAUAGCUCACUGGUCGAGUCGGCCUGCGCGGAAGAUGUAACGGGGCUAAACCAUGCACCGAAGCUGCGGCAGCGACGCUUAGGCGUUGUUGGGUAGGGGAGCGUUCUGUAAGCCGUUGAAGGUGGCCUGUGAGGGUUGCUGGAGGUAUCAGAAGUGCGAAUGCUGACAUAAGUAACGAUAAUG